GCCGGUGUGGCGGAAUGGUAGACGCGCUCGAUUCAAAAUCGAGUUUCUCACGAAGUGCGGGUUCGAGUCCCGCCGCCGGUA
Molecule: transfer RNA, 81 nt
Filed under: Verrucomicrobiales bacterium
Lineage: Bacteria; Pseudomonadati; Verrucomicrobiota; Verrucomicrobiia; Verrucomicrobiales
Description: tRNA-Leu
Rfam family: tRNA
About the family: Transfer RNA (tRNA) molecules are approximately 80 nucleotides in length.
Source: RNAcentral